RNAcentral lists this ribosomal RNA (490 nucleotides) under uncultured bacterium. Its description in RNAcentral is "bacterial SSU rRNA". It matches the Rfam family "Bacterial small subunit ribosomal RNA", at positions 29 to 509 of the family's 1533-position model. The record is from RNAcentral.
AGUGAACGCUGGCGGCAGGCCUAAUACAUGCAAGUCGAACGGCAGCACAGCAGAGCUUGCUCUGUGGGUGGCGAGUGGCGGACGGGUGAGGAAUACAUGGGAAUCUGCCCAGUCGUGGGGGAUAACGUAUGGAAACGUACGCUAAUACCGCAUGCGCCCUAAGGGGGAAAGCCGGGGACCGCAAGGCCUGGCGCGAUUGGAUGAGCCCAUGUUCGAUUAGCUAGUUGGCGGGGUAAAGGCCCACCAAGGCGACGAUCGAUAGCUGGUCUGAGAGGAUGAUCAGCCACACUGGAACUGAGACACGGUCCAGACUCCUACGGGAGGCAGCAGUAGGGAAUAUUGGACAAUGGGGGCAACCCUGAUCCAGCCAUGCCGCGUGAGUGAAGAAGGCCUCGGUUGUAAAGCUCUUUUGUCCGGAAAGAAAAGCAAUCGGUUAAUACCCGGGUGUUCUGACGGUACCGGAAGAAUAAGCACCGGCUAACUUCGUGCC